This 424-nucleotide ribosomal RNA is filed under the name uncultured prokaryote. Its description in RNAcentral is "bacterial SSU rRNA". It matches the Rfam family "Bacterial small subunit ribosomal RNA", at positions 355 to 796 of the family's 1533-position model. The record is from RNAcentral.
UGGGGAAUCAUAGACAAUGGGGGCAACCCUGAUCUUGCCAUGCCGCGUGGUCGAUGAAGGCCUUAGGGUUGUAAAGACCUUUCACCGGUGACGAUAAUGACGGUAGCCGGAGAAGAAGCCCCGGCUAACUCCGUGCCAGCAGCCGCGGUAAUACGGAGGGGGCUAGCGUUGUUCGGAAUUACUGGGCGUAAAGCGCACGUAGGCGGGCAUUUAAGUCGGGGGUGAAAUCCCGGGGCUCAACCCUGGAACUGCCUUCGAUACUGGGUGCCUAGAGAACGGAAGAGGUGAGUGGAAUUCCGAGUGUAGAGGUGAAAUUCGUAGAUAUUCGGAGGAACACCAGUGGCGAAGGCGGCCCACUGGCUCGAUACUGACGCUGAGGUGCGAAAGUGUGGGGAGCAAACAGGAUUAGAUACCCCGGUAGUCC